CUCCCUCCUGAGUUCUUCUAACCUCUUUAGUGAAACCUUUCUUUGGGCUGGAGGUAUAACUCAGUAAUAAAGUGCUUGCCUAGUAUGUGGGAGGUCAUGGGUUCAAUCCCUAGCACCAACCAACCAACCAACAAACAAAACCCCAAAACCCGACAACAACAACAACAACAACAACAACAAAAUCGUCUUCAAUGAAAGAGAUCACUGUUGGAUGCCUUCCUACACCAUGCCAAAUUCUGGCUGACUAAAAGCUAGAAGGGAGGUUUUCAAAAUUUGAGAAUACUUUGUCCCCACAUAGGUAAGUUGGAGAUAAGCUGCUCAUGAUGGGGGCUUAUUAAUUUUUCUUCCUUUCAAAAAAACCUUUUCUAAUAUGAAUGAAAGUUUUGUAGAAGUACUAGGGGAAAAUUCUGCUGUAUGGAAAAAUAUAGAUGCAAUAUAGAUCAAAUGGUCCAUUGCAAACUUACCAUCAGAAAGGAGAAAAGGCUAGGGGACUUGUCUUUUUCCAGUGCAUAGGGGUAAACCCAGAUCUUGGGCUUCUUCUAUCCUUGGCCUUCAACAAGGCAUCAGUCAUCCAGUUCUUUCUUGAUGAGAGUCUAGGAAGUAGGAAAAGGGUGAGGAUUUCCUUGGGCUUUAAUCCUGCAAGUAAGUUGAAGAGAGAAGGAAAUAAAGAGGCUUUUUAUAGUCUUCCUUCAGAGAGGGUAAGCUUCAAAAACUCAGGUCUUUCCCACUACCAGUACUCAUGCUGUCUCAUGCAUUAUAAUGCUACAGAGUUACUGUCUCUUUCUCUACUAAAUGCCCUCUUCUGUUAACAACUGAACAGUAGGAGGCAGCAGAAAACAUCCUCCGGGUUUGUUUAUUUGUUUGUUUGUUUUGGUACUGCGGAUUGAAACCAGAGGUGUUUUACCACUUAGCUACCCUGAGCUGCAACCCUAACCCUUUUUAUUUUUUAUUUUGAGGCAGGGUCUCUCUAAGUUGCCCAGGUGGGCCAGAAACUUGUGAUCCUCCCUCUUGCCUCAGUCUCCAGAGUAGCUGGAAUUAGGAGUGUGUACUCCUGUGCCUGGAUGAAAACAACGCUUUAUAGCAGUAAGAAAAAUAAGUUACUUUAAAAAUUUGUUUUUAGUUGUUUGUAGAACUUUAAUUUAUUUAUUUAUAUGUGCAGAGAAUCAAACCCAGUGCCUCAAACAUGCUAGGCA
This 1193-nucleotide long non-coding RNA is filed under the name Marmota monax (woodchuck). Lineage: Eukaryota; Metazoa; Chordata; Mammalia; Rodentia; Sciuridae. The record is from RNAcentral.